This 614-nucleotide ribosomal RNA is filed under the name uncultured eukaryote. Its description in RNAcentral is "eukaryotic LSU rRNA". The stretch from base 559 to 614 matches the Rfam family "Eukaryotic large subunit ribosomal RNA", at positions 1 to 56 of the family's 3401-position model. The record is from RNAcentral.
UGGAAGUAAAUGUGGACACAAGGUCUCAGUUGGUGAACCAGCGGAGGUAUCAUUACAGAGCAAAAAAACUCCCCAAAACCCAUGCGAACAUAACAGUCGUCACCUAGGAGGGACCGCCGCGGGCGCCAUCGUGCGCCCAGGACCCAGGCGCCCGCCGGGGGACUCAAUCUUUUUUUUUCACCACAGUCACAUUAUGUGAGUGGGUUAUGCGAAAACAAAAGAAUCAAAAUUCACAACACUCAUAUCUUAGGUUCUCAUCGAUGAAUUACGCAGUUAAAAUGGAUUAAGUAACCUAAAGCAGAAUUCAGUGAAUUAUUGGAUUUUCGGACGCACCUUGGGCCCGCCCGUAAUUCGGCGGGCCGGCCUGUUUGAGGGUCAAUUUAACCCUCCCCGCGGCAUUCGUGUCGGGGGGCUGUUGGGGAUUGAAGACCGCCCAACGGCGGACGUCGUCCCCUAAAGCCAGUGGCAGCCUCGCCGCGGCCUCCUCGCGCAGUAAUUACUUCUCGCGGGCGGAGCCACAGUGACGGAUCGCCGUAAAACCCCCAACUCUUCAAUGGUUGACCUCAGAUCAGGUAGGAAUACCCGCUGAACUUAAGCAUAUCAAUAAGCGGAGG